GGGGGGGGGGGCUAGGAUGAAAUUUGAAAAAAAUAGGCAGGACAGGAGUUUUGAGUAAAAAAAAAGGCAGGAUGAGACACUUACAAAAAAAAAAGUCAGGACGACAAUUUAGGUAAAAAAAAGUCAGGAUAAACUAAAAAAAAAAAAAGGCAGGACCGAACAGAGUGAAAAAUAAAAAGGCAGGACAGAGAUUACAGCUAAAAAAAAAUGCAGGACAAAAUUUUUCAUCCUAGCCCCCAUAAAAA
This 245-nucleotide long non-coding RNA is filed under the name Mytilus galloprovincialis (Mediterranean mussel). The record is from RNAcentral. Lineage: Eukaryota; Metazoa; Mollusca; Bivalvia; Mytilida; Mytilidae.